AGUGAACGCUGGCGGCAGGCCUAACACAUGCAAGUCGAGCGGCAGCGGGCUGUAGCAAUACAGUGCCGGCGAGCGGCGGACGGGUGAGGAAUACAUCGGAAUCUACCUUGUCGUGGGGGAUAACGUAGGGAAACUUACGCUAAUACCGCAUACGAAUUACGGUUGAAAGCGGAGGACCGCAAGGCUUCGCGCGAUUGGAUGAGCCGAUGUCGGAUUAGCUAGUUGGCGGGGUAAUGGCCCACCAAGGCGACGAUCCGUAGCUGGUCUGAGAGGAUGAUCAGCCACACUGGAACUGAGACACGGUCCAGACUCCUACGGAGGCAGCAGUGGGGAAUAUUGGACAAUGGGCGCAAGCCUGAUCCAGCCAUGCCGCGUGUGUGAAGAAGGCCUCCGGGUGUAAGGCACUUUGUUCGGGAGAAAAGCUACCGGUAAUACCCGGAGUCAUGACGGUACCGAAAGAAUAAGC
RNAcentral lists this ribosomal RNA (466 nucleotides) under uncultured bacterium. Its description in RNAcentral is "bacterial SSU rRNA". It matches the Rfam family "Bacterial small subunit ribosomal RNA", at positions 29 to 491 of the family's 1533-position model. The record is from RNAcentral.